GAGCUAGAAGCCCAGUGAGUAGAGCUAGUAAAACACAUAAACACUAUGCUCAAAUGGAAUGCAUCAUAACACAAACAAUUCACAUAAGGGUUGGGUGAACUUGUCACCAAUUAGUCCAAGCUAACAUAGUGCCAGGCCGUAGCAUGGGGUCCUGGUCUUCCUGUCAUACAUACAUUACUCACCAUUAUUCCAGGGCCUCCUCUGGGCUCCUGGUCUUCGAGUCCACAAUCGUGCCAGGCCGUAGAAUGGGGUCCUGGUCUUCCUGUCAUGGACUAAUUGGGUCAUCCAACAUUCACCCACAUCAACAACACAUGAUGCAAUGCGGCAUAUUCGUGAAACUAAUGCAAUCACCCUAUUGCAUAAUCAUGAUGCAUGAAACAUGAUAAAACAUUUAAUUUAAAAGAUUAAGUUUAGUUCCACUCACCUCUGGCUGACUCUGACAACACCGA
This 449-nucleotide long non-coding RNA is filed under the name Manihot esculenta (cassava). RNAcentral's name for it is "long non-coding RNA (MESC_LNC005196)". Lineage: Eukaryota; Viridiplantae; Streptophyta; Magnoliopsida; Malpighiales; Euphorbiaceae. The record is from RNAcentral.